UAAGGAGCUCUUGGGAAGAUACUUCCUGGAUU
Molecule: non-coding RNA, 32 nt
Filed under: Mus musculus (house mouse)
Lineage: Eukaryota; Metazoa; Chordata; Mammalia; Rodentia; Muridae
Source: RNAcentral